CCUACGGGUGGCAGCAGUGAGGAAUAUUGGUCAAUGGACGAGAGUCUGAACCAGCCAAGUAGCGUGAAGGAUGACUGCCCUAUGGGUUGUAAACCUCUUUUAUAUGGGAAUAAAAUGUUCCACGUGUGGGAUUAUGAAUGUACCUUAUGAAUAAGGAUCGGCUACCUCCGUGCCAGCAGCCGCGGUAAUACGGAGGAUGCGAGCGUUAUCCGGAUUUAUUGGGUUUAAAGGGAGCGUAGGUGGAUUGUUUAGUCAGUUGUGAAAGUUCGUGGCUCAACCGUAAAAUUGCAGUUGAAACUGGCAGUCUUGAGUACAGUAGAGGUAGGCGGAAUGCGUGGUGUAGCGGUGAAAUGCUUAGAUAUCACGAAGAACUCCGAUUGCGAAGGCAGUUCACUGGACUGAAACUGACACUGAGGCUCGAAAGUGUGGGUAUCGAACAGGAUUAGAUACCCCAGUAGUC
Molecule: ribosomal RNA, 460 nt
Filed under: uncultured bacterium
Lineage: Bacteria
Description: partial 16S ribosomal RNA
Rfam family: Bacterial small subunit ribosomal RNA
Source: RNAcentral